Molecule: ribosomal RNA, 465 nt
Filed under: uncultured bacterium
Lineage: Bacteria
Description: partial 16S ribosomal RNA
Rfam family: Bacterial small subunit ribosomal RNA
Source: RNAcentral
CCUACGGGUGGCAGCAGUGGGGAAUUUUGGACAAUGGGCGCAAGCCUGAUCCAGCUAUUCCGCGUGUGGGAUGACGGCCCUCGGGUUGUAAACCACUUUAGUAGAGAACGAAAAGUAGCUAUCGAAUAACUAGCUCUGCUGACGGUACUCUAAGAAUAAGCACCGGCUAACUACGUGCCAGCAGCCGCGGUAAUACGUAGGGUGCGAGCGUUAAUCGGAUUUACUGGGCGUAAAGGGUGUGCAGGCGGCUGAGUAAGACAGAUGUGAAGUGCCCGGGCUUAACCUGGGAACCGCAUAUGUGACUGCUUGGCUAGAGUGCGUCAGAGGGAGGUGGAAUUCGACGUGUAGCAGUGAAAUGCGUAGAUAUGUGGAAGAACACCGAUGGCGAAGGCAGCCUACCGGGACGCAACUGACGCGCAUACACGAAGGCGCGGGGAGCAAACAGGAUUAGAUACCCGGGUAGUC